GGUAAUAAAUUAGGGAGUGUUGGUAGCAAAAUUGUUAGACCUUUCCUCAACACAUAUAAUGGUAAUAUUUUUCUAUUCACUUCCUUUCAUUACUCAUUUUAGUUUAUUUUCUUUCUUUUAAUUUCUUGGCCUUGGGUUUCACGGGUUUUGAUUUGGGUUUUUCUAGGCUUUAGGUUUCUUGAGUUUCACCAUGGAUGGCUUUCUUUUUUUCAGUCUAGCAGUAUAUGUUUAUUCUCUUUAGUUUGAGAUUAUUAUAUUGCUGGUAUUUUCACAAUUCCAUAUGAAGCAGCUCAAGAAUAUGGGAUGGGACCAAUUGUCGAUUUUUAAAUUAUGAUUUGCUCAAAUCCUGUGAUGUUUAUUUUGAGUAAUUAUGCUAAUGCUUGAUGAUGAAAUGUUAAGAGACUUAGUUCUUUUUGUUUCCUUUCAGAUUACAAAAAGGAUAAUGGCCUGCAUCUUACGGAUUCAUAUUCAUCAGAAGAAAAAAUUGUUGUGUUGGAGGAGUAGAUUUUGUUACAUUGGUAUGAAUUUUUCUCUUUUAAAAUCAUCUUAAGUUCAAUGAUUUGGUGUUACUGCUUCCAAAUUUAGAGCAUGUGUUAGAGUCAAUUUGAUUUGAUUUAGUAUUAUUAUUUGAUAUAUCUUUCUCUUUGUAAAUUUUCAUCUCUAAAGCAUCUGAAGAUGUGUUCAAUUGAUAGUAAGCCUUAUGCUUACUUUUUAAUUGGUGCAUUUUGGUGUUUCUAUUGUAAUUUUAAAUGGCACUUCUAUUCAAUCAUGUGCUCUGUGAUGAGCCAAGUACAUAAAUCAUUCCAGAGCAUGGAAAAACUUUUUGAUAGUUUGUAUUGUUUGUUAUUGUAUCUUUCAGUAGUAUAUUGCUUAUAGAAAUAUCUCAUUGCUAUUUGACAGCAUUCCACUACAUUGUUGUUAUUUGUUCUUAUAGUUGAUUUGUCAUGGAGCUCCUAAUUGUAUAUGAGGUAGGUUGAAUGUUAUUUACAUUUAAUUUGGUUGUUUAAGAGAAAUUUGAUAAUAUUUACUUAGACCUUUUUUAUAGUUCCAUUUAGGAGGGUGGCAACAAGAUACAUAUUUCGUCAGCACUAUUCCUUUGUCAAAUAUUUGGAAAGAUAUAUGACAAAUACAACUUUGAUUUUUGACUUUAGAUCCCUCAUUUGAGAGUGAUGACAUAAAACAAAGGUCAUUGCUAGAUUAUAGUGUGUGGAUAUGGCAUUUAGUUUAUUGGCUUUAUUACAUCAUAAUACUCAUACUUUAUUACCAUUUUACUAUGCUUUCUAUCAAAACUCUAUUAAGUAUAUUUGCUUCUUACAUGGUAGAAUAUUGCACGACCAAAUAGGCAUUUGAUGAUUUGUAUAAAUCCUUCCAAUUUUCAGAUCUGAUCCAAACUUCUUUAGGUUCCAAUGCAUAUUAAUUUCAAUCACCAUGGCAUUCUCUUGCAUUAUUGGAUUUUUCUUUUCUAAUUUCAAUGAAUUGAUGACAUAUUUAUUAGUUUUUGUUGUUAUUCUUGCUGCAUAAAGAGGAAGUUCAAGCCUAAGUUAGUAAAAUGAAAAAGUAAUUUAUUUUAAAUCUUUUUUCUUUUUCUAUUUUCUUCACCUUAUGGAUUGGAUUGCAAAAGCCAUCUUUGUUCUUUGGAUUGGCAUAUAUAUAAUGAAUUCUAUCUGUUACAAUUUUUGGUUAUGGAUUGGUCAUGAAUUUUCAUUAUUGGACAUGGAAUCAAUUUGUUUGAUUAUGAAUCGGUUUAGUGCCACACUCUAAUUUUGGCACGAACAAAUAAUCUAGCACAAGAGAGGGAAGCAUAGUCAUCAAGUGUGUUUUUUAUUUUUUUAUUUCCAUGGUUCAUUGCAUUUUGAUUCAGAAUAAUAUCUAUAGUAAAGCUUCCAGACUUUGACUCAUUUUUAGUAAUGUUUGUUUUCAAUGAAGCUUUCAAAAAGAUGGUAUAUUUUACUUGAUAAUUUGUUUGAAAUAAAAGGGUAAAAAUGGAAUAAAAUUGUUAUAACUCAUUCCAUUCCAUCUAUUUUCCAAACAAUGGGAUGAAAAGUUUGUUCCAUUAUACUAUAAAAUACCCAAACAAUGGAAUCUAUGUUCCAUUCCACUCUUUCUACUUCAUUCCAUUCCACCUUAUUUCGGUCUACUCCGCUUGUUUUAAAAUAUCCAAACAAGUUAUGAUGCUUAUCUGGUUGAUGAACUCCUUUGAAAGAAUCUUCCAACUAUUUUUGGAGAUUUCUGGUUUACAUUUUGUAAAAACCAUGGAUUGAGCAAGUACAAUAGCAGUCUCCUUGCAAUCCAAGUUGUGGCCGUCUUACAAUUAUAGUUUAGACUGAAUAAUUUUGUUUCAUGCAAUAGCACUUUCAUCCUAAGAGCUUUUUCGAAUACUAACCUUGAUUUGAUUAACUGCAGACAAAAUGUACUAUAUUUACUUUUCUUUGAUUAUAGUUAUUUGCACUAUGGGUUCAUGUUGAGCCCCAAAAGUUUAAUUCAUGUUUGAAGUUUUCAUUAUUUGUGAGGGAAAACGGGGAGUUCUGUCAAUGCCUAAUAGAAUUUUAGUAAAUAUAUUUCCAUGUAAUGUGAUUCUCUGUAGUAUCUUCUAAGUAUCGUUUUGCCUUUGCUCGUGAUUCUUCAACAUUAAUUAUGUAAUCUGUGUGCUAUAAUGGUGGUUUUUGUCAACAUUAAUUAUGUGAACUUCUUAUAUGUAUUAUUACAUAUACAUGUAUUUGUAUAUAUGUGCAUUUUAUUAAUGUGCCAAUCUGUCUUUUAUGGCUUACAUGUAUAGAGCAUGUUGCAUACUUUUUUUAUUGUAUCUUUGAUUAAUUUUAUGCAUGAAAUAUAAACAAAAGUUAUAGAUUUUAAAGUGCAAGGCUCUAUUAUGUUGUUAAAUUAUGUAAUGUGCAUAAGGCCUAACUCAAUUACAAUUUUACAUUGUUAGGUUGAACAAUUUUUGUGGCUUGGAAUAAAGUGUUAAAAGAUUUGUGUAAGUUAUUGUGGUUAUUGAAUGCUAAGUUUGUCUCGUGUUAUAAAAACUAAAUUAGCCUCUGUUUUUUAUGAGUUUGGUUUGGAUUGUCACUUUAGUAUUUCAAGUUGUAGCGUGAUUGAAACUUUGAUAUAAUAUAUUAAUGUUUUUAUUUUCUUUUA
RNAcentral lists this long non-coding RNA (3135 nucleotides) under Cicer arietinum (chickpea). Its description in RNAcentral is "long non-coding RNA (CARI_LNC002763)". The record is from RNAcentral. Lineage: Eukaryota; Viridiplantae; Streptophyta; Magnoliopsida; Fabales; Fabaceae.